UUACGGGAGGCAGCAGUGGGGAAUCUUCGGCAAUGGACGAAAGUCUGACCGAGCAACGCCGCGUGAGUGAAGAAGGUUUUCGGAUCGUAAAACUCUGUUGUUAGAGAAGAACAAGGACGUUAGUAACUGAACGUCCCCUGACGGUAUCUAACCAGAAAGCCACGGCUAACUACGUGCCAGCAGCCGCGGUAAUACGUAGGUGGCAAGCGUUGUCCGGAUUUAUUGGGCGUAAAGCGAGCGCAGGCGGUUUCUUAAGUCUGAUGUGAAAGCCCCCGGCUCAACCGGGGAGGGUCAUUGGAAACUGGGAGACUUGAGUGCAGAAGAGGAGAGUGGAAUUCCAUGUGUAGCGGUGAAAUGCGUAGAUAUAUGGAGGAACACCAGUGGCGAAGGCGGCUCUCUGGUCUGUAACUGACGCUGAGGCUCGAAAGCGUGGGGAGCAAACAGGAUUAGAUACCCUGGUAGG
Molecule: ribosomal RNA, 463 nt
Filed under: uncultured bacterium
Lineage: Bacteria
Description: bacterial SSU rRNA
Rfam family: Bacterial small subunit ribosomal RNA
Source: RNAcentral